This 450-nucleotide ribosomal RNA is filed under the name uncultured bacterium. RNAcentral's name for it is "bacterial SSU rRNA". It matches the Rfam family "Bacterial small subunit ribosomal RNA", at positions 354 to 796 of the family's 1533-position model. The record is from RNAcentral.
GUGGGGAAUUUUGGACAAUGGGGGCAACCCUGAUCCAGCCAUGCCGCGUGCGGGAAGAAGGCCUUCGGGUUGUAAACCGCUUUUAGUCGGAAAGAAAAGGCACGCCCUAAUACGGCGUGUUCUUGACGGUACCGGCGGAAUAAGCACCGGCUAACUACGUGCCAGCAGCCGCGGUAAUACGUAGGGUGCGAGCGUUAAUCGGAAUUACUGGGCGUAAAGCGUGCGCAGGCGGUUCGUUGUGUCUGAUGUGAAAUCCCCGGGCUCAACCCGGGAACUGCAUUGGAAACUGGCGGACUUGAGUGUGGCAGAGGGGGGUGGAAUUCCGCGUGUAGCAGUGAAAUGCGUAGAUAUGCGGAGGAACACCGAUGGCGAAGGCAGCCCCCUGGGCCAACACUGACGCUCAGGCACGAAAGCGUGGGGAGCAAACAGGAUUAGAUACCCGAGUAGUCC